This 77-nucleotide transfer RNA is filed under the name Desulfobacter hydrogenophilus. RNAcentral describes it as "tRNA-Asp". It matches the Rfam family "tRNA". Rfam says of the family: Transfer RNA (tRNA) molecules are approximately 80 nucleotides in length. Their secondary structure includes four short double-helical elements and three loops (D, anti-codon, and T loops). Further hydrogen bonds mediate the characteristic L-shaped molecular structure. tRNAs have two regions of fundamental functional importance: the anti-codon, which is responsible for specific mRNA codon recognition, and the 3' end, to which the tRNAs corresponding amino acid is attached (by aminoacyl-tRNA synthetases). tRNAs cope with the degeneracy of the genetic code in two manners: having more than one tRNA (with a specific anti-codon) for a particular amino acid; and 'wobble' base-pairing, i.e. permitting non-standard base-pairing at the 3rd anti-codon position. The record is from RNAcentral. Lineage: Bacteria; Pseudomonadati; Thermodesulfobacteriota; Desulfobacteria; Desulfobacterales; Desulfobacteraceae. RNAcentral also lists the same sequence under 7 other names.
GGGGGUGUAGUUCAGUUGGUUAGAACGCUAGCCUGUCACGCUAGAGGCCGCGAGUUCGAGUCUCGUCACUCCCGCCA